ACUUUAGUUAAACUUUAAUAAUGAACUACCUAAGAGAUUCACAAUCAACAACAAUUAUAUAUAUAAAUACUUACUAUACAUACAAUAAGUAAUAUAUUCUUGAUUAGUUACUGACAACAUAUUUAAAAUAAAACUACGGAUAUAUACCACGAUAAAAAGGGCGGAAUCGUACUU
This is a long non-coding RNA of Maniola jurtina (meadow brown), 174 nucleotides long. RefSeq lists it as uncharacterized. The record is from RefSeq and is a predicted model, not a curated record. Lineage: Eukaryota; Metazoa; Arthropoda; Insecta; Lepidoptera; Nymphalidae. The transcript has 3 exons.